Molecule: ribosomal RNA, 496 nt
Filed under: uncultured bacterium
Lineage: Bacteria
Description: partial 16S ribosomal RNA
Rfam family: Bacterial small subunit ribosomal RNA
Source: RNAcentral
ACGAACGCUGGCGGCGUGCCUAAUACAUGCAAGUAGAACGCUGAAGAGAGGAGCUUGCUCUUCUUGGAUGAGUUGCGAACGGGUGAGUAACGCGUAGGUAACCUGCCUUGUAGCGGGGGAUAACUAUUGGAAACGAUAGCUAAUACCGCAUAACAAUGGAUGACACAUGUCAUUUAUUUGAAAGGGGCAAUUGUUCCACUACAAGAUGGACCUGCGUUGUAUUAGCUAGUAGGUGAGGUAAUGGCUCACCUAGGCGACGAUACAUAGCCGACCUGGGAGGGUGAUCGGCCACACUGGGACUGAGACACGGCCCAGACUCCUACGGGAGGCAGCAGUAGGGAAUCUUCGGCAAUGGGGGCAACCCUGACCGAGCAACGCCGCGUGAGUGAAGAAGGUUUUCGGAUCGUAAAGCUCUGUUGUAAGUCAAGAACGGGUGUGAGAGUGGAAAGUUCACACUGUGACGGUAGCUUACCAGAAAGGGACGGCUAACUACGUG